GAGUUUGAUCAUGGCUCAGAUUGAACGCUGGCGGCAGGCCUAACACAUGCAAGUCGGGCGGUAGAGAGAAGCUUGCUUCUCUUGAGAGCGGCGGACGGGUGAGUAAUGCCUAGGAAUCUGCCUGGUAGUGGGGGAUAACGCUCGGAAACGGACGCUAAUACCGCAUACGUCCUACGGGAGAAAGCAGGGGACCUUCGGGCCUUGCGCUAUCAGAUGAGCCUAGGUCGGAUUAGCUAGUUGGUGAGGUAAUGGCUCACCAAGGCGACGAUCCGUAACUGGUCUGAGAGGAUGAUCAGUCACACUGGAACUGAGACACGGUCCAGACUCCUACGGGAGGCAGCAGUGGGGAAUAUUGGACAAUGGGCGAAAGCCUGAUCCAGCCAUGCCGCGUGUGUGAAGAAGGUCUUCGGAUUGUAAAGCACUUUAAGUUGGGAGGAAGGGCAGUAAAUUAAUACUUUGCUGUUUUGACGUUACCGACAGAAUAAGCACGGCUAACUCUGUGACA
Molecule: ribosomal RNA, 505 nt
Filed under: uncultured bacterium
Lineage: Bacteria
Description: bacterial SSU rRNA
Rfam family: Bacterial small subunit ribosomal RNA
Source: RNAcentral